AAUCAGCUGACUUCAAUCGGUUGGUCAUAUACUCGUUGCUAGGGCAGUUAGCCCGUUAGCAUAAAGAGGUUAAAAUAAUUUAAAUAAAAUGUUUGCGUUUUUCCCCGCGACGAAUGGCGUGUUAAAUAUACUAGGGGUUUAUGGAAAAAUGUUACCCUGGCAUCCUGACAUACUGGGCUCUCUAUUAGCCAUAUAAGUUAGCGAUCAGCUGCUCACUGUUUACAGAGCCACUCAAACAAACAGACAGCCAUACGUGAAGUCGGUGGAUAUUUCAUCUUUUUUGGACGAGGUUUGGGAAUAAGUGCAAUAUGGACACCAAUGUCCAGAAAAGGCGAGAGAACAAGAAGUCGUUACGGGUUAAGGUCAUUAGUCUGGGAAAUGCUGAGGUGGGAAAGAGCUGCAUCAUUAAACGUUACUGUGAGAAGAGAUUUGUGCCCAAGUAUCUAGCCACUAUUGGGAUAGAUUAUGGUGUAACAAAGGUUCAGGUACGGGACCGGGAGAUAAAAGUAAAUAUUUUUGACAUGGCUGGACAUCCUUUCUUUUAUGAGGUCCGCAAUGAGUUUUAUAAGGACUCUCAGGGAGUGAUUCUAGUCUAUGAUGUUGGCUUGAGAGAGAGUUUUGAUGCUCUGGACAGCUGGCUCACAGAGAUGAAGCAGGAGAUGGGCUCGCAGGCUAACAUGGAGAACAUCAUCUUUGUUGUGUGUGCAAACAAGGUUGACUUGACAAAAAGGAGAGUGGUGGAUGAGAGUGAAGGGAGACUUUGGGCUGAGAGCAGAGGAUUUCAUUACUUUGAAACUUCUGCCCAGAGCGGGGAAGGCAUCAAUGAAAUGUUUCAGUCGUUUUUCUCCUCAAUAACUGAUAUGUGUGAAAACGGAGGGAAGAGACCUACUCCAGAGGUGAGCGUAGGUUUUACCAAAGAGCAGGCAGACACCAUCCGACGCAUCCGCAACAGCAAAGACAGCUGGGAUAUGCUGGGAGUCAAACCUGGGGCCACAAGGGAAGAAGUCAACAAGGCAUACAGGAAGUUGGCGGUACUGUUGCACCCAGACAAGUGUGUGGCCCCAGGCAGCGAGGAUGCCUUUAAAGCAGUGGUUAAUGCUCGCACGUCCCUCCUCAAGAAUAUCAAGUAGGAUCAAGUGUCCACACACAACUGCAUCUCUCAUGGUUCCAUUACCAACAUACUCCUCCUCAUUUUGAUCGGCUUCACAUUGCCAUUAGCUGGAGUUGAAGAGUUCCCUUCUCAGUGAAGAUCACUCUUAAAGCACACGGAGAAGCCACUGGACUCGAACAAAGACGUAUGUCAGAUGUGCAGCUGUGACCGCACUUGUUUAUAAUGUAAUAUAUGUUCAUGUGCUGUUAUUGUUGGGAAACCUCGAUGCUCUGAGGGGCAUAUCUGUCAGGAUCACUUUAGAACAUGAGAAUAUCAUUGGUGGGCCUUUCCUUUUCUCAGUCUGUCCUGUGACAGUUGACUGUUGUACUGCACUACUCCUAUAGAUGACAAGUUAAUACCACUUAUUUACCAGCUGAUUUGCGACCCAGACUUACCAUUUUAAUGUUUUAGUUUAAUCCUGACACACCUCAUAAGUUAGCCGUGACCUACAUGGCUCAUUCACUUAUUUGUUGUUUUUAUCCACUCCACUUUAACUUACUUUAAAUAGGAGGAAAAGCAUGGAAAGGUUUUCUAAGUGCAAGUGCAAUAUAAAAAUAGCGUGUAUUUCUCAGAUUUACCACUAGCUUUAUUCUACUACUUGCUAAGUUAUCGUUGAAGAUGAAUCAAUAAUAUAUUAAAAUAUCUACAUAUAAAAAUGAUUAAGAAAUGUUUGUGUAACAUGCCAAUUCAACUUCAAGUUUACUUAAGUUAGGUCAUUUUUAAGUACAAAAUAGGUGGUCAAUAGACUAUUAUUCAAGUAUUUGGAGCCAGGUGAUAUUGAAUGCAUUACAUUAUUCAAAGAUAACAGUAAAGAUAUUAAAAUUGUGACUGUGUUUUUCAUCGUUUGAGCUCGAGAAAUGCUUCUUUAGCAUUAAUCCUUGUGCACUGUUUAAAUUUACAACCCUUUCGUUAUGUUCAGGAUAAAACAUUCACUGAAUUAAACUGUAUAAAAGAUAAAUAUGUUUUUCAAAUUCUUUUGGCGUAAAUCUGUUAAUCAAUCUCAGUCCUGAUCAAAACUACUAAAUUGUUUAGAGAAUUACUAGAUUUUAACUCCUUAAGUUCACAAAUUAUGUCACUGAUUUGGUGGAAAAAAAAACAUAAAAUGACAUUUUCAAUAUAAAAAGUAAUUGUUGACAGGAUUUUUCAUUUACCUUUUAUCACAGUCUUGGAUAUGUGAAAUAUUAGUAACAACAUCGGCUUUGGUGCAUUGUUACAUUUUCAUUUUUUUUCUCUUUAAUUUACUGUUGGUGGCUGUUUUUGCCACAUUGCCCCACUUCCAUUAUAACCACAUUUAAUGGUGCAUAAAUACAGUCUUUGUUUUUAUUUACUUGAUGUAGUUCUGAGAGCUGAGAUGCAUAUUUUGAUAUUCUCAGGCACGUUAAGGUAAGUGUACGUAUAAAGGUCACUCUCACACACACACACACACAAACACACACACACACACUUUUUUUUGCUGUUAUACUCCAUAUAAAAUUAGAAGCUAAGCUUUGUUUUUGCACAGGCUUAUCUAAAGGGUUAAUGGUGCCAACUCAUGAUCAACAGUAAAAAUGACAAAUUUUAUCUCUUCCCAACAGGGAAAACCACAUACAAUCAAAUAUGCAUGAAUAAAUGCUAUCAUGGUUAUAUAAUCAAAAAUAGUGGUUACAAUGGAAGUCAAUGGGGCAAAAAAUAAAAAUUAAUCAAAAACAAUGCAUCAAUGCAAUCUACAUGU
Danio rerio (zebrafish) is the source of this 2861-nucleotide non-coding RNA. NCBI's taxonomy places the organism in Eukaryota, Metazoa, Chordata, Actinopteri, Cypriniformes, Danionidae. The record is from RefSeq and is a predicted model, not a curated record.